RNAcentral lists this ribosomal RNA (253 nucleotides) under uncultured bacterium. Its description in RNAcentral is "partial 16S ribosomal RNA". It matches the Rfam family "Bacterial small subunit ribosomal RNA", at positions 524 to 776 of the family's 1533-position model. The record is from RNAcentral.
UACGGAGGGUGCAAGCGUUAUCCGGAUUCACUGGGUUUAAAGGGUGCGUAGGUUGACCGGGAAGUCAGUGGUGAAAUACUCUCGCUUAACGAGAGAACUGCCGUUGAUACUAUCGGUCUUGAAUACGGUGGAGGCGGGCGGAAUGUGUCAUGUAGUAGUGAAAUACUUAGAUAUGACACAGAACACCUAUUGCGAAGGCAGCUCGCUACGCCGUCAUUGACACUGAGGCACGAAAGCGUGGGGAUCAAACAGG